Molecule: long non-coding RNA, 356 nt
Organism: Papaver somniferum (opium poppy)
Lineage: Eukaryota; Viridiplantae; Streptophyta; Magnoliopsida; Ranunculales; Papaveraceae
Exons: 5
Source: RefSeq, a predicted model, not a curated record
UUUUUUUUCUUCUUUCCAUUUAUCGGUUCUUUUAGCAAUAUAUCUGCUAAUGGUGAUUUUAUGACCCACAUAACUCAUGUGAUAAUGUCGUGUAUUGAUAAUCCACAGAAUGCAUGCGAUGAUGCGUGUACUGAUAAGUUUAUGAUCAACAGCUGCGAUAGUCGGAUUUCACGGAUAUUGGUAUUCGUUGUUUUGAAGAUUUGUGGCCAUUUUAAUAAUCACAUGCAAGUUGCUGCCUUCGUGGUGACAGGAGCGCAAUACUAAUCAUUUGGUGAUGGUUUGUUUCUGCGUGGAGCAUUUGGUUCUCCACUGCCAGAUCAAUGCAAAUGGCAUGACCUACAAGCAAAUGACUUUAU